Molecule: ribosomal RNA, 484 nt
Filed under: uncultured bacterium
Lineage: Bacteria
Description: bacterial SSU rRNA
Rfam family: Bacterial small subunit ribosomal RNA
Source: RNAcentral
AUUGAACGCUGGCGGUAGGCUUAACACAUGCAAGUCGUGCGAGAAAGUAUCUUCGGAUAUGAGUAGAGCGGCGGACGGGUGAGUAACGCGUAGGAAUCUACCUAGUAGAAGGGGAUAGCCCGGGGAAACCCGGAUUAAUACCGUAUACCUCCUUCGGGAGAAAGAAGGCCUCUCUUUGAAGCUUUCGCUAUUAGAUGAGCCUGCGUAAGAUUAGCUUGUUGGUGAGGUAAAGGCUCACCAAGGCGACGAUCUUUAGCUGGUCUGAGAGGACGAUCAGCCACAUUGGGACUGAGACACGGCCCAGACUCCUACGGGAGGCAGCAGUGGGGAAUAUUGGACAAUGGGCGCAAGCCUGAUCCAGCCAUACCGCGUGUGUGAAGAAGGCCUUCGGGUUGUAAAGCACUUUAAGCAGGGAGAAAAAGUUAUAAGUUAAUACCUUAUAACCGUGAUGUUACCUGCAGAAUAAGCACCGGCUAAUUCCGUG